GAUGAACGCUGGCGGCGUGCUUAACACAUGCAAGUCGAGCGAGAAAAGUUCUUCGGAGCUUUUCUAGCGGCGGACGGGUGAGUAACACGUGGGCAACCUGCCUCAUAGAGGGGAAUAGCCUUCCGAAAGGAAGAUUAAUACCGCAUAACAUUGUUGAAAGGCAUCUUUUAACAAUCAAAGGAGCAAUCCGCUAUGAGAUGGGCCCGCGGCGCAUUAGCUAGUUGGUGAGGUAACGGCUCACCAAGGCGACGAUGCGUAGCCGACCUGAGAGGGUGAUCGGCCACAUUGGAACUGAGACACGGUCCAGACUCCUACGGGAGGCAGCAGUGGGGAAUAUUGCACAAUGGGGGAAACCCUGACGCAGCAACGCCGCGUGAGUGAUGAAGGUCUUCGGAUUGUAAAGCUCUGUCUUUAGGGACGAUAAUGACGGUACCUAAGGAGGAAGCCACGGCUAACUACGUGCCAGCCGCCGCGGUAA
This 478-nucleotide ribosomal RNA is filed under the name uncultured bacterium. RNAcentral's name for it is "partial 16S ribosomal RNA". It matches the Rfam family "Bacterial small subunit ribosomal RNA", at positions 28 to 523 of the family's 1533-position model. The record is from RNAcentral.